Molecule: ribosomal RNA, 27 nt
Filed under: Verruciconidia persicina
Lineage: Eukaryota; Fungi; Ascomycota; Sordariomycetes; Hypocreales; Bionectriaceae
Description: Acremonium persicinum partial 18S ribosomal RNA
Source: RNAcentral
UCGGUGAACCAGCGGUAGGGAUCAUUA